GGUAAUGAAAACAUAGUCAAAAUGGUGAUUGAUCACCCCUUCCCCUUUUUUACUAGUUUUCUAUACAUUUCACACAUUUUGUCUUGCUUGAAGGAAAUCCUUGUAAAUUCGAUCUUUUUAUUACUUCGUCAGUAUCAGUACACUUGCCGAGAAGUCAUCAAGUUUUUGGCGUCGUUGUCGGGGACUGUUAAUUUUUCAACAAGGCGAUGUUGUGCAAUAUUUUAUUUUUAGUAUUUUUAAUUUUCUUUUUAUUUUCUUGUUCAUCAUAGUACUAUUGAGUUA
RNAcentral lists this long non-coding RNA (282 nucleotides) under Lathyrus oleraceus (garden pea). Its description in RNAcentral is "Pisum sativum (pea) long non-coding RNA (PSAT_LNC005122)". Lineage: Eukaryota; Viridiplantae; Streptophyta; Magnoliopsida; Fabales; Fabaceae. The record is from RNAcentral.